ACGAACGCUGGCGGCAUGCCUAACACAUGCAAGUCGAACGAGACCUUCGGGUCUAGUGGCGCACGGGUGCGUAACGCGUGGGAACCUGCCCUUAGGUUCGGAAUAACUCCCCGAAAGGGGUGCUCAUACCGGAUAAUGUCUUCGGACCAAAGAUUUAUCGCCUUUGGAUGGGCCCGCGUUGGAUUAGCUAGUUGGUAGGGUAAAAGCCUACCAAGGCGACGAUCCAUAGCUGGUCUGAGAGGAUGAUCAGCCACACUGGGACUGAGACACGGCCCAGACUCCUACGGGAGGCAGCAGUGGGGAAUAGUGGACAAUGGGCGAAAGCCUGAUCCAGCAAUGCCGCGUGAGUGAUGAAGGCCUUAGGGUUGUAAAGCUCUUUUACCCGGGAUGAUAAUGACAGUACCGGGAGAAUAAGCUCCGGCUAACUCCGUG
RNAcentral lists this ribosomal RNA (432 nucleotides) under uncultured bacterium. Its description in RNAcentral is "partial 16S ribosomal RNA". It matches the Rfam family "Bacterial small subunit ribosomal RNA", at positions 29 to 507 of the family's 1533-position model. The record is from RNAcentral.